Pelobates cultripes (western spadefoot toad) is the source of this 206-nucleotide non-coding RNA. The record is from the annotation of a GenBank genome assembly. Lineage: Eukaryota; Metazoa; Chordata; Amphibia; Anura; Pelobatidae.
CUUAAGGACUGGACUGUUUUUGCGAUGUUGUACAUUUGCGACCAGGCAUAUUUUUACACUUUUGUGGUGUUUGUGUUUUGGCUGGAAUUUUCCGCUCUCUCAUUUACUGUUCCCAUACAAAUUAUAUAUUGUUUUUUUCAGGACAAAAGGGGCUUUCUUUACAUACCAUUAUUUAUAUAAUCUCAUGUAUUUUAAUUUAAAAAAAA